ACCCGGUUAGCUCAGUUUGGUAGAGCGUGUGACUUUUAAUCACAAGGCCACGAGAUCGAGACUCGUACUGGGUG
Molecule: non-coding RNA, 74 nt
Organism: Nowakowskiella sp. JEL0407
Lineage: Eukaryota; Fungi; Chytridiomycota; Chytridiomycetes; Cladochytriales; Nowakowskiellaceae
Source: the annotation of a GenBank genome assembly